This 582-nucleotide ribosomal RNA is filed under the name uncultured bacterium. RNAcentral's name for it is "bacterial SSU rRNA". It matches the Rfam family "Bacterial small subunit ribosomal RNA", at positions 337 to 909 of the family's 1533-position model. The record is from RNAcentral.
UCCUACGGGAGGCAGCAGUAGGGAAUCUUCCGCAAUGGACGAAAGUCUGACGGAGCAACGCCGCGUGAGUGAUGAAGGCUUUCGGGUCGUAAAACUCUGUUGUUAGGGAAGAACAAGUGCUAGUUGAAUAAGCUGGCACCUUGACGGUACCUAACCAGAAAGCCACGGCUAACUACGUGCCAGCAGCCGCGGUAAUACGUAGGUGGCAAGCGUUAUCCGGAAUUAUUGGGCGUAAAGCGCGCGCAGGUGGUUUCUUAAGUCUGAUGUGAAAGCCCACGGCUCAACCGUGGAGGGUCAUUGGAAACUGGGAGACUUGAGUGCAGAAGAGGAAAGUGGAAUUCCAUGUGUAGCGGUGAAAUGCGUAGAGAUAUGGAGGAACACCAGUGGCGAAGGCGACUUUCUGGUCUGUAACUGACACUGAGGCGCGAAAGCGUGGGGAGCAAACAGGAUUAGAUACCCUGGUAGUCCACGCCGUAAACGAUGAGUGCUAAGUGUUAGAGGGUUUCCGCCCUUUAGUGCUGAAGUUAACACAUUAAGCACUCCGCCUGGGGAGUACGGCCGCAAGGCUGAAACUCAAAGGAA